AUCAAGCAAGUUGGGGAAAA
RNAcentral lists this small nuclear RNA (20 nucleotides) under Arabidopsis thaliana (thale cress). RNAcentral describes it as "snRNA_13723". The record is from RNAcentral. Lineage: Eukaryota; Viridiplantae; Streptophyta; Magnoliopsida; Brassicales; Brassicaceae.